UCUGCAUUGCUGGUCAGAGUGGCAGCCAGGGCACGCUUGCUGUUCUGUGGAUGCUGGUGGCCAUUUGAUCCAAAGGGGCAGCUCCAGUUUGAAGUAAGACCUGAAGGAUUUGUCCUCCCUGGGCCUGGCCUACUCUUGCAGCGGUGUGACAAUGCAAUCCAGGCUGAAACUUCACAGCACUUGGUGGAAGGCGCACAGCAGGGACUCACAGCAGCAUCGGCUUCCCUGCCUCUGCUUUUCCCAGUUGCUUUCUCCACAGAUCCAAGAAGGAUUUCUUGCCUUUGCAGGAGGAUCACCACAUGUUCCCAUUCUUUCAUGUUAGAGGCAACCUCCUUCUAAGUGAAUAUUUAUAGUGCACCCCACAUGGCACCAGCUGGGAGGCAUUACUCUGGAUCUACGUGCUUUCACCCAGCCCAAAGAGCUAUUUGUGACUUUGGGUGCCCCUUAUGCCAUUCAUUAACUUCAAAUUUAAUAACCCUCAAAUAGUUCCUACUUCCUCUUUACUCGUGUUUUACUGGAAAAGCAGUCGCUUCUCAGAUUCCACUAACUCUCAUCAAAGUAGCUAACACGAUAUACGUAAACACAUGUAUAACAUAAAUAUAUUACCAUAUUAUUGCAGUUGUGCAUUUGUGCAAUUUAGUAUGUAUAAUACACGCACACAUGCAUACUAGAUAAUGCAAUGUAUCCAACAUGAAUGCGCAAACCACCUGGCUUCCAACCAGAAAAUCUUGUGAUGAACAGCAACUAGUCAGUGAGCUAGCAACAGUGGUGUAUUACUGCCUAACCAAGCAAAAUGCACCUGGGUCCAUUCCUCCUGCCCACAGGUGAGGCUGGGUCCAUGGUUGCUGUGAAACCCACACAAUUUCACCAGUAUAAAUAGUGGUCUACCAAGCAAAGCCAGCUGGGAAUCCACCCAAUGUGUUUGUGCCAGAUGUGAGCACAGGACUGGAGACAGGAGCUAAGCACCCUGCAAGCAACACCUGGUGCCACACCACUGAGAUGAAUUUUCCAUUUUUCUGAGUGCUUCAAUAUAUUGACCUUGACAUCCCCUUCUCUGCUGGGCCCCAGUGCUGGUUACUUGGGAGCUCAUGUGCUCCUGGGGCUUGGUGCAGCAGAUGGAAACGGCUGCCCACACUGCGCUGCCCCUCUGCCAGCUGCCACCGAGCUGCCAGGCCCUCCUCUCUCAUAGGCACCCAUCCUGUGGUGGGCCCUGCAUGAAGGGUGCAUGAAAUAUCAUGAUACAGUUGCCAUGUUUUGGUCCUUCGCAGAUUCCCUUCUUGAAGGCACUAAUCUCAACAGGCUCUAGUCUAGAAUUAGUCCUCUCUCUCUCUUAAUAACGCCAGGUACUGUGUACUGUAUAUUGCAAAUACUGCUUACUGUUUUCUGCUACAUCCAAAGAAAAUUAAACAGCACACAAACCUUU
This is a long non-coding RNA of Aptenodytes forsteri (emperor penguin), 1423 nucleotides long. RefSeq lists it as uncharacterized. The record is from RefSeq and is a predicted model, not a curated record. Lineage: Eukaryota; Metazoa; Chordata; Aves; Sphenisciformes; Spheniscidae. The transcript has 2 exons.